Molecule: ribosomal RNA, 176 nt
Filed under: Bredemeyera martiana
Lineage: Eukaryota; Viridiplantae; Streptophyta; Magnoliopsida; Fabales; Polygalaceae
Description: 5.8S ribosomal RNA
Rfam family: 5.8S ribosomal RNA (bases 8-163)
About the family: 5.8S ribosomal RNA (5.8S rRNA) is a component of the large subunit of the eukaryotic ribosome. It is transcribed by RNA polymerase I as part of the 45S precursor that also contains 18S and 28S rRNA.
Source: RNAcentral
AACGAACGACUCUCGGCAACGGAUAUCUCGGCUCUCGCAUCGAUGAAGAACGUAGCGAAAUGCGAUACUUGGUGUGAAUUGCAGAAUCCCGUGAACCAUCGAGUCUUUGAACGCAAGUUGCGCCCGACGCCUUCUGGCUGAGGGCACGCCUGCCUGGGCGUCACGCACCGUCGCCC